Molecule: ribosomal RNA, 556 nt
Filed under: Phyllopsora pseudocorallina
Lineage: Eukaryota; Fungi; Ascomycota; Lecanoromycetes; Lecanorales; Ramalinaceae
Description: SSU rRNA
Rfam family: Bacterial small subunit ribosomal RNA
Source: RNAcentral
AAUAGCCUAACGGCUGAACCAGCAACUUGGAGGAAUGAAUAGCAAUAGCUAAUUGCACAUAUGUAUGGUGCAAUAUCGACUCUGUCGAAUAAAAUUCUGACUAGAAUUAUGAUAAUGACAUUGUCUAGUCAUAUGUCUUGACCAAAUUACGUGCCAGCAGUCGCGGUAAUACGUAGAAGACUAGUGUUAUUCAUCUUUAAUAGGUUUAAAGGGUACCCAGACGGUAAAUCAAGCCUUAAAUGGAACUAAUUUGCUAGAGUUACUUUCGCGGGGGUUUUAAAGUACUAAUGGUGUAGAGAUAAAAUUUUGUAAUACCAUUUUUCGAAAGAAAAGUUAUGGCACUGGUAAAGGCGAAAACAUCCCCUUAUGUGAUAACUGACGUUGAAGGACGAAGGCUUUGGAUCGCAAAUAGGAUUAGGUACCCUAGUAGUCUAAGCAGAAAAUUAUGAGUGUCAUAGAUUAGAAACUAAUUUUAUUCUAUAAAUGAAAGUGUAAGCACUCCACCUCAAGAGUAAUUUGGCAACAUUGAAACUGAAAUCAUUAGACCGUUUCUGAA